GUUCCAUAUUUACUUGAAGAAAAACAUCUUUACUUUGAGGGUGGCAGAGUACUGGAACAAGCUGCUCAGAGAGGUUGUGGAGUCUCCUUCUCUGGAGAUAUUCAAAACUUGUGGAGAUAUACAAGGAGUCUGCAAAAAUGCAUUAGAAGCCCACUCCUUAUAUACACUUGCAGCAGCACCAAAAUAUAUCAGCAUGGGACAGUGAAUUCAUUCCCCAGAACGAGUCUUCUCAACAGUGACUGAUGAGCACUCCUGUUUCCUGUUUCAGGAAGGAAGAAAAGUUUUAUAAACAUUAGACUUCAACUUCAGUAGACUUUAAAGGAUUUCACCUCUACCUGAUAUAAAAUUAAGAAUUUUCACUCUACUAAAAUUUGGAUUUGCCUCCCGUUAAUGGGAGAUGGAAGGCCCAUGGAGGAACAGGCUGUCCCCCUGCAGCCCAUGAGCACCAUGCAAAGCAAAUCUCCACAUGCAGCCAUGAAGAAGUCCAUGGUGCAGCAGUGGAUGAGGCCCGAAGGAGGGACAGCCCAUGGGAAGCCCCCACAGGAACACCCCAGGCAGGAACUGCAGCCUGUGGAAAGCCGUCUGUCGUGGGGCAGGAGGGUUGAGGGAGCUGCCAUUGGUGGGAACCCAUGCAGGAGCAACAGGUGACAACAGGGGGCAGUCUGACAAAAUGGCUUCUCACAUGAAAGCGUGUAUGAAGUGGAAGUGUGAAACUGCAUUCAUCCACAUGGGAGAAAUGUCACCCACUGACGUUCAUUGACUUUUAUUGGACAUUUCACAGAAUUGUAGGGGCUGGAAGAGAACUCCAGAGACCACCGAGUCCAACUCCCCUGCUAAAGCAGGCUCCCUAGACCAGGUUGCACAGGUGUAUUGCCUUCAUCUGUGCUCCCAUGGCUGACUCAGUGCUUGCCUCAGGUCAUCAGUCAAGUGGUUGAGACUGUGAUUCAUCAGGUCCAAUAUGCCCAGGCAAGCCAAAAGGGGGGACAUCCAUACUAUAAGGGUGAAAAGAUCAUUAAUAGGCUGCAUUUAUUUUUGUACAGUCUCACUUGCAUAUUUGAAUUAAUAGUUUUGACACAACAUUAAUUUUAAAUUGAGGGCAAGAUGGAAUGUUUAUUAAUGCAUGAUUCAAAGGAAAGAAAGUAGCUAAAUUAUCUAGCAUUUCUUCUGCAUUGCUUACUUUGUACUUUAGAAGUAACUCAUACUUUGUUAUUUCUAUUGAAGGCUUGAAAACAGAAUGUUUCUUUUGACCUUCACUGAAGUCUAGGAAGAACAAGCAGUAGCAUAUGCUCUUUAUUAUUAUUAUUUUUUUUUUACCGGAUUUUAUCAGCAUUUUUCAGAAUAUCAGAAUAUUUAAAAAUGUAUACUAAGCUUUGCAUUUAAAUAACACAGUUUAGCAUUAAUAUUCUGUAAAUAUAUAGUAGUAAUAUGUGGAAAAAAACAGAGCAAGGUCAUCAUGUUUAUUUAAUACGCUGAAGUACUUCUGUCAAUGGUUUACAGGCUUGUUCAGCCCAAUUCUGUGACAAAAGGGGCAGGAGGGACCCACAGACACAUGCCCUGGGAAAGGGAAAAGGGGGAAAAGCAGAAAGGGUAGGAAGAUGGGCCUAAAAACAAAACAGUGGCAACAAUCUGAGGAGGAAAACUAAUUUAGUAAAUAUAAUAUUAGAAUGCAAGAUAACACAAUAUAGUUCAAUAUAAUUAGAAUUGAAACUAAUAAAUCAAAUAAAAUGAGAGUGUGUUAAAAAAGAAAAAGAAAAAAAAAAAAAAAAAAAAACUGAGGGCCUUACUCUAAUACUGAAGGCGAGACUUCUAGCCAGGAUGAGCAGAAAGGGAAAAGGGAGUGGGUCCUCACAACCUGUGGACAGUUUUUAUCUUUCUCUCUGAAUGGAAAACAGAAACAGAGCAACACAAAGUCCUCUGGGGUAUGUACUUCUCUUCUGAGAACAAGGUACCCGUAGCUAUCCAUGAUCCAUGGAACUGGAGCAUUAACUCUUUAGUUCCCAGUGCACUAUAUGAUGUUGUGAUGUGGAAUACUAAUAACAAAAACCAUAAAACGAUGACAAUGUCUUACAGGUGGUAACCUUUCUUUGCUUCUCUUACCAUUUUUGUACUUAACUUUAAUAAUGAUAGAAAAUUCUAUGAUUUUUAGCAGGUCAGGAGCAGUACUUUUCUAACUACUCCUGUUCUACUAUAUUGAGUUGCAGAGGCAGAAUAUUAUACUUGAAUAAAGAAAGUAGAAUUAAUAGAAGAUUUUAUUAUUGUCUAUAUGCAAGUUGUAUCUUUAAUAACAGAAUUUAUGUCCCCUUGCUAAUUAUAGAAUCAAAGAAUCAGUAAGAUUGGAAAAGAUUGCUAAGAUCAAUUGGCACGACCUUCCACCAACUAAUAUUGCUCACUAAACCAUAGGCCUAACUACCACUUCUACAUCUUCCUUGAACACCUCCAGGGAUGGUGGCUCCACGACCUCCCUGGACAGCCUGUUGCAGUGCUUGAACACUCUUUCAGAGAAUUUUUCCCUAAUAUCUAGCUUGAAUCUCCCCUGGCACAACUUACAGCCCUUAUCUCAUUUCUUACUGCUAAUUAUCCAGGAGAAGAGGCCAGGAGAAGAGGCUUACCUCACCACAACCUCCUUCCAGGUAGUUGUAGAGUGCAAGAAGGUCUUCCCCUGAGUCUACUCUACUCCAGUCUAAGCAAUCUCAGUUCCUUCAGCUGCUCUUCAUUAGACCUCACCAGCCUCACCGCCCUUCUUCGGACUCCCUCCACAAUGUCUUUCUUGUAGUGUUGGGCCCAAAACUGAACACAGUAUUUGAGGUAGGGCUUCACCAGUCCUGAGUACAGUUGGACAAUCACCUCCCAGGUCAUGCUGUCUACACAGUUUCUGAUAAAAGUCAGAAUGCCUCUGGCCUUCUUAGACACCAGGGCAUACUGGCUCAUGUUCAGCCGAGUUUCAGCCAGCAUCCCCAGAUACUUUCCUACAGCUCAGCCUUCCAUGCACUCUGCCCCCUGUAGUUCAUUCUUACACUGAGGCAGACAAACACUUCACUCCAGUUUAGUGUCAUCUGCAGAAGUACUGGAAGUGCACUCAAUUCCUUCAUCUAGAUCAGGAUAGUAAGAUCAGGAGGAGUAAAAAUUUUUGCACAUGUUAGAAUAUUACAUCACAGAGUACAGUACAUUAUCCAUUUAAACAAUUUCUUCUGAUUGAUAAGUUUAAAUGUCGUUUAUAAUUUAACUGUUAUCUGUCCUUUCAAAUCCACUGAAAUUAUUUUUACACUGUGAUAGAACACUUACUGGAGAAUACAAAUUUGUCCAAUUUGCAAACUCUUGCACUUGGAAAUAAUGUGCCACAAGGGCUUAACAAUACAAUUUUAAUGGUGUUUUUUUAACAAAGGAGGAAAGAAAUCCUUCUAACUGCUUUUGUAAGAAGGUUUAAGGUGUACCUGACAUCAACUGAUUGGAGGUUGUGCCAACUAUCUAACAUUCAAAUCUAUAUAUACAUAUAUUAAUGUCUUGAUAAGUUUAUGGUUAUAGUUUAAUAUUACCAAACUUCACAAUGUUAGAACUUUCACAGUUCUUUUGUACUUAUCUGUUCACUUAAUUAUUUCUCACACAUAAGAUUAAUUUUAAAGUGUUAUUCUACUUUAAUACAUGUGAAAAGUAUUAAAAAUGAGAAAGGUUCAGGCAUGAGAUAAGUGAAAUGUUCAACAUCAAAAACAAGAAGCCAAGAAUGUUCAUGAAUAUAGUAAGUCCAGAUGGCUUACAGAGUUUUUGAAGAUUUGCUAAUGUGAAGUAUGCAUCAACAGACCCUACCAUCACUUUAGAAUUAUUGUCAUGUUAAAAAUGACAGUACAAGAAAAAAAAUGUAUCCUCUUAAUGACAUGUAUCUUCUUAAUGAUAUCCUCUUUGUGUUCAGAUUCUUCCACUUUUACUCAAAUAAUCUUAUUCUAUCCAGAAUAUAUAAAAACAAGGUAUUACUCUGCAUUGACAAGUGAUGGAUUUAAAUUUUAAGGUGUUUUAAGGUGUAAUUUUGAGUGUGUUUAGUAUUUCCCAGGCUAGGAAAAGGCUAUAGACUCCUAUAAAAUACUGCAUAUUCAAGGAUAUGUUAAGAAAACUGAAACUGAGUGCAGCAUUCUCUUUUG
This is a long non-coding RNA of Gallus gallus (chicken), 4130 nucleotides long. The record is from Ensembl. Lineage: Eukaryota; Metazoa; Chordata; Aves; Galliformes; Phasianidae.